RNAcentral lists this ribosomal RNA (96 nucleotides) under uncultured methanogenic archaeon. RNAcentral describes it as "partial 16S ribosomal RNA". Lineage: Archaea; Methanobacteriati; Methanobacteriota. The record is from RNAcentral.
UCCUAGCUGCUAGCACAUUUGUUCUAUCUUUUCUCCAGCAUAGANCACUGGAGGAAUAAGGGCUGGGUAAGACGGGUGCCNGCCGCCGCGGUAAUA